GACGAACGCUGGCGGCGUGCUUAACACAUGCAAGUCGAACGGAAAGGCCCUGCUUUUGUGGGGUGCUCGAGUGGCGAACGGGUGAGUAACACGUGAGUAACCUGCCCUUGACUUUGGGAUAACUUCAGGAAACUGGGGCUAAUACCGGAUAGGAGCUCCUGCUGCAUGGUGGGGGUUGGAAAGUUUCGGCGGUUGGGGAUGGACUCGCGGCUUAUCAGCUUGUUGGUGGGGUAGUGGCUUACCAAGGCUUUGACGGGUAGCCGGCCUGAGAGGGUGACCGGCAACAUUGGGACUGAGAUACGGCCCAGACGCCUACGGGAGGCAGCAGUGGGGAAUAUUGCACAAUGGGCGGAAGCCGGAUGCAGCAACGCCGCGUGCGGGAUGACGGCCUUCGGGUUGUAAACCGCUUUCGCCUGUGACGAAGCGUGAGUGACGGUAAUGGGUAAAGAAGCACCGGCUAACUACGU
Molecule: ribosomal RNA, 467 nt
Filed under: uncultured bacterium
Lineage: Bacteria
Description: partial 16S ribosomal RNA
Rfam family: Bacterial small subunit ribosomal RNA
Source: RNAcentral